GCUGGGCAUGGUGGUGCAUGCCUGUAAUCCCAGCGGCUUGUGAGGCAGAGGCAGGAGGAUUGAAAGUUCAAAGCAAGCCUCAGCAACUUAGUGAGGCCCUAAGCAACUUAGCAAGACUCUAUCUCUA
This 127-nucleotide small RNA is filed under the name Marmota monax (woodchuck). Lineage: Eukaryota; Metazoa; Chordata; Mammalia; Rodentia; Sciuridae. The record is from RNAcentral.